Long non-coding RNA from Calidris pugnax (ruff), 474 nucleotides. RefSeq lists it as uncharacterized. The record is from RefSeq and is a predicted model, not a curated record. NCBI's taxonomy places the organism in Eukaryota, Metazoa, Chordata, Aves, Charadriiformes, Scolopacidae. The transcript has 3 exons.
CUUUUCCUCUUCUGGAGUCUCGGUGCCUCGUUCACUCUCCUCUCCCUCCUUGUCCUUCUCCAAGUCGUCUCCUGUGGUUUCACUGCUGACAUCUGGGGAGGAAAAAGCGACUUUCAGGCAGGACCCAGCGACCAGCAGGGGAAAGAAAAGGACCCCCGGACCCCCCCUCACACGCUCUUCCAUGAAGCUUUUGCUCACGCAAUCUAAGGCCUGAAAGUGAUGCAGCUUAUUAACAAAAGCUCCAGAAAUGCAGGGCCCAGGACAAUAGUUCCAGCUCCCUCAUCAAGGCUGCCCCUACCUUCUACGCUCUUCACAACGAUCCACUUACAGUGAUGAUGGCCUUUUGAGCAGCUUCAUCGUGAAUAAGCUUUGCCUUCUCAAGUGCUUUUUCAAAGUUAAUGAUUGCAGACUGGUAACUCCUUAAUUUUACUGUAAAAGACAAAUGAAAAGAUCUAUUUUGACCCAAGAUCAAGA